Molecule: transfer RNA, 82 nt
Filed under: Actinomycetota bacterium
Lineage: Bacteria; Bacillati; Actinomycetota
Description: tRNA-Leu
Rfam family: tRNA
About the family: Transfer RNA (tRNA) molecules are approximately 80 nucleotides in length. Their secondary structure includes four short double-helical elements and three loops (D, anti-codon, and T loops).
Source: RNAcentral
GCGGGCGUGGCGAAACUGGCAGACGCGCCAGGUUUAGGUCCUGGUCCUGAAAGGGGUGGAGGUUCGAGUCCUCUCGUCCGCA